Molecule: transfer RNA, 68 nt
Filed under: Darevskia raddei (Azerbaidzhan lizard)
Lineage: Eukaryota; Metazoa; Chordata; Lepidosauria; Squamata; Lacertidae
Description: tRNA-Val
Rfam family: tRNA
About the family: Transfer RNA (tRNA) molecules are approximately 80 nucleotides in length. Their secondary structure includes four short double-helical elements and three loops (D, anti-codon, and T loops).
Source: RNAcentral
CAAAAAGUAGCUUAUAAAAGCACCUGGCUUACAACCAGGAAAUGCCGUAUUAACUUCGGUCUUUUUGA